Ictalurus furcatus (blue catfish) is the source of this 2950-nucleotide long non-coding RNA. RefSeq lists it as uncharacterized. The transcript has 5 exons. Lineage: Eukaryota; Metazoa; Chordata; Actinopteri; Siluriformes; Ictaluridae. The record is from RefSeq and is a predicted model, not a curated record.
CAUGACUAAUAAGUGCUAAGGUGCACUCCUAAACGCACACACACCCCUUAUACUCUGAAUGCAAGCAUUAGUUUAAAUUCACUGAUAUGGUGGCAGGAUAAAAAGAUUUAUUAAAAGCAUGAACAUGUGUAUAAUUAUUAGUGACAUGAGGCUACAUUUAGCUGACAGGACACGGGCUGAAUGGAGAUGCAUGGUGGUCAAUUAGGAGGUAGUUUAUAACAUUGCAAUGCGUUAGCGUUUAACAAAUAACUGGAUAUCGCUAACAUUACAUGGAGCAUAACGUUAGCUGAUUUCACGGCUACAAUGCCAGCUGUCUCAAACAUAAUAUAGGACCUGUCUUUCGACUGUAAUCCUAUGGCAUUAAUUUUGUAACCUAAAAAUACCUCUACUUCUCCCAUGAACUCACACUUGCUCCUUCUUUGCCUCAGUCCACUCUUUUCUAUCCUACUCAGUACCUCAUCCAAGUUCUGCAGAUGUUCAUUAGCCCCUGAGACUAAAAUGCCAUCCAGAUAAACUGUGACGCGUGUGAUGUCUUGCAGAAUCCCUUCUAUUGUGCGCUGGAAGAUCGCUGGACUUGAAGCAACUCCAAAUGGUGGCCUGUUUGUCCAAAGCCCAGGCUGACCCCCCCACCCCUUCAACCUUUGCGGCAGUGCUGGCAGCACUAUUUCCCAAAGACAACCUCUGGAUAUGACGCUGAGCACGUGCACUCAACUUCUUUGGUCGACCAUGGCGAGGCCUGUUCUGAGUGGAACCUGUCCUGUUAAACCACUGUAUGGUCUUGGCCACCGUGCUGCAGCUCGUUGUCAGGGUCUUGUGUCCAAAGCCCGUGGUGGUGGCAGUGCAUGGCGUGUGUGUGGAAGCAGGUCUGUUGGGAGUGUUAAGUACCAUCUCAUACACUCAGCAAACAAUGUGGAUGGAACUUUCCAGAGUUGUGGUGUCACUUUUCCUACAAAGCUUUAACCAUCAGAGAGUUAUCUUUUACUGGGGCUUUUAGCUGCAGGAGACUGAAUUACUAACAGUUUUUUUUUGUGGAUCUGAUUUCUUCUUUCGCAGGAGUGGAUCUAAUCACAGUCUGUGAUAUUCGUCUGUGCACACAGGAUGCCUGGUUUCAGGUGAAGUCGUGUGUUCCCUGAUGGUCAAUGAUUGCUGGAGCUCUGGAAAUAGCAGGUGAGAUUGCAGGCCGGAGUCCCGUCGCUGUCCAGGGAACCAAAAUCAACCUCCUCUACUCCUGAGACCACAGUGUGACUGAGAGCCUAGACUACAUGGCUACUUGGAACAUGAACAUGUUGCAGACACAGGAUCUUAUGAAGUCAGCGCAGGCAGCCCUGGAAAAGAAGAGUCCGAAAGACGUGCCCUUCUCCAAGCUUUAAAGGAGAAGAUCCAGGGCUGUUGAAGCUGCGGUGGAACUGAGACUUCAUCAUCCACAUAUCUUUAGUUCUUCUUGUUAAGUCUGAGUUUCUUUUUAGUCUUUUUAUUUUUAGACUGGUCAAAAGACUGAUUAGUGGAAGUGAAAUGAUGGAUGAACUUUUAAUUACUUGCUUUAUUAUUUGCAGGUGCUUUGUACAGUAAGACAGGGUAACUAAUACUCAAAAGCUUGUUUUGUGUGUUAACAUGUACAGUAGAUGUACAUAUUUUUUCUGGUCCUGUGUGAUUGCAGAAUGUAGUGCAGUUAACACAGUAAAUUUCCUUGGAUGCUCACUUUUAACUCGGAGGUCACAGUUUGCCCAGACAUCUUUUUUUAAAUCCGUCAAUCCGUCACCCACACGUCAUUCUGGGGGACGAAGAGGAGGAAGCUGGACAGAUACAUUUAUUUAUUUAUUUAUUUAUUUAUCAUUGCUGUGUUUCCUCAAUCCAGUGCAGAAAGAAGAAAAACACAACUGAUUUAAAAUAAAAAUAUAGAACAUAAUCUAAUGUAAGGUUCUGAUCCGGUUUGCUUUCAGCAGGAAAGCUGUCCUCUUUCCUGUUGCUCUUUCUCUUCUAUUAGUCCAUUUGUCCAGUCUGAAUCGGUUUGAUUCGUUUCAAGACGAUUUGGAGUCGAAUAAUUUUCUAGUGAGAGUCGCACACUUCCAAACGAACUAGACUGAGAUGAGUAUUUGAUUCUCACUAGAAAGUGAUUCGACUCUGAAUCAACUCAAAAUGAAUCAGUCAAACUGAUUCAGACUCUAUAAAAGGACUAUGAGAUGUGAUUAAGAUAUAUAUUCCAAUGUUUUGCUUUACAAUUCCACUGUGUGUGUGUGCGCGCACGUGUGUUUUUCAGGAGAACGAGAAACUCGGACACAAGAGUACAUCCUGACCAUUGGUACUGUGUACACAUCAACAUACACGCAUGUCUUCAUGUUGGACAUCUCAGGAGCUUUCACACACGGUGCUAGGAAUAUCCCGGGACAGAGAAACGCACCUCCUAAGUGAGCGAGUUUAGCGUCAACCGGUGAAAUUUUCUGUAGCGUGAACACUUCGCCUCUGUGAGCUUCACUCUCCGUCAGGUUCACUGUAAUUAGACAUAAAAUGUACAUAAUGUUUAUUUUUCAUACAUUUAGGAUUUAAUGUUUUUCUUUACUCUUUGAGGAACAGAAAUGAUCUUUUGAGGCAGUUUCAUCACUACCUGCUCCGUUUGAUUAAAACAUAACGACCAGUUUCAAAAAGUCACAAUGUCUUCAGUUCAUGUGAUUUUACUGUUGAAUUUAAACAGGAAAUGUGAAAUAUUUUUUCCUUUGUUUCCUCUACUGUCUUUUUGCUGUGAUCUUGAACACAGUUGUAAUUUUAUUAUUAUUUUUUAAAUAAAUAAAUGAUCAUUCUAUUCUUUCUCACUUUCCUUGUCCUAAUUGUCCUGUAUCUGUUAAAUCCGUUUCAUCUGUGGUCUUUCUGUCUGUAUGAACACUUGUAGAAAUGACAUAUAGUCUAUAUUUUUAUUCAUGAUUUUGAAUUUAAAUAAAGAUAUUCUUUAAUUCUG